This is a long non-coding RNA of Dromaius novaehollandiae (emu), 1661 nucleotides long. RefSeq lists it as uncharacterized. The record is from RefSeq and is a predicted model, not a curated record. NCBI's taxonomy places the organism in Eukaryota, Metazoa, Chordata, Aves, Casuariiformes, Dromaiidae. The transcript has 2 exons.
ACUGAAAAGGCAAAGAGAAAAAAUUAGAACGACUCCAACAGCAAAGAAAGAGAUCCAGAGCCUGCUUGACAAGUGACAGUUUCAUAUUUCAGUUGUUCAGCACUAUCAAACCCCACUGCCUUUUGAUCCCACAGGUCUUAACAUGCCAGUUUUCUGGUAUUUACUUCUUCCCUACUUAUAAGAAGUUCUCUAGACAGCAGAAGUGAUACAGUCGCUUUUCCUGUGGAUCAGUGCUUCAUUGUAAUGCCCUCAGAUAAUUCUCAUAUCCCAACAUUCCCUGUCCUUUAGUACUUCCAGUUUUCUUUUGUUUCUCAGCAGGAUGUUCAGUAACUUCUUAGUUCCCAGGACAGUUUUAAUGGAGUUUAAAUCGUUCAAAAACAUAUCUUGUGCUAACUAGCCUGGAACAGGAGCCAGUGCCACAGAACCACUCACUCUGGGGAUUAAGCUACUAAUCCGGGAAUCAGAAAACCAAGGUUCAGUUCUCCAGCUCUGCUAUAGCCAUCAUAUAAGACCUAAAGCAAAUUACCUUGCCUGCACUGCCAUCUCCUAACAAUGGGAAAAAUAGCUCUUUCACCAUUCUUGAUGAGUUAGCUUAGUUCAUUAAUUCAGUGGGCCAUUUAUACGUCUUACAAAGUACAUGUCAAAUGCUUAAUAUAGUUGGAUCCAGAUUUUGUGGGACUUCAUUCCGAUACCUAUAUACCCUAGUAUUUCUAUAAUCAUCAGCAUUAACAGAGAUCAUAAUAGUCAAAUGCUCAAUAUACAUACAUUUGGCCAAAGUAGGAAUUCACUGCUUUUUAAUUUCUCAGUUAAAAAAAAACCUGAACUGCUCUUAUUGCAGCUUUGCCGCUGUUGUUUCACUCUUUUCCAAGUCACCACCUUCAUCUGCUCACAGGUAACCAUGUAACCUGCACUUACAUUCAUCAUAUUUUAGACUAUUCUAGCACUCUCCAUCAGCAUUUUAACAUUUUGGAUUAAUGUACACUAACAUUUUCUUGUGUGUGCAGAGUAAUACUCUUAUUCUAUAAAUAAGAAAUUGAACCACAGACAUUAGAGACGAAACAUAUACUACUAACUUAGUUAGCCAUAAUACUGUAAGGUAGUGAGCAUGUUCUUCAGUUUAACUGUGUCUCGAUUAAUUUAGUCCUCCAAUUUAAUGGACAACUUACUCAAAACUAUCACUGAGCACAAGCAACCUUGUUUGAGAAAGCAUAUUUGAAAAGCAAAGGUUUCCCCCUGUGGCACAGCUCCAAUUCAUGUGAGAAUUCAUCAGUAGCACAGAAAAUGUCACUUGUCACAUACAACCUAUAACAUUUACUAGAUACUUCAGAUGAAGACAAAGGAACAUGACAAUAAGUAAAUAUGAUAUAUCUGCACCACCAUAAAGUUUCAUCUUUAAAGGGUAUUUUAAAUCUCAUUUAAAAUCACUCUAUUAUUGUAAUCCAUAUUAACUUUCAAUCUCCUUUUAAUACCUCUUCUUAGCCAUAUACCAUGGCGAUUAAUUGGACAACUUAAUUCCCUCUUGAAUUACUUCCUUCUACACAAUUUAAUUUUUUCCCCAGUUUCACUAGAUGUUCCUUUAAAGUCUUAAUAAAAUUCACAGGAAACAGAACUCCUGACCUACAUUCCUUAUAUCAUUACUUAAUAUACUUUUUGUCAUAUCA